RNAcentral lists this ribosomal RNA (527 nucleotides) under uncultured bacterium. Its description in RNAcentral is "bacterial SSU rRNA". It matches the Rfam family "Bacterial small subunit ribosomal RNA", at positions 981 to 1509 of the family's 1533-position model. The record is from RNAcentral.
UUGACAUACUAGAACUUUCCAGAUAUGGAUUGGUGCCUUCGGGAACUUAGAUACAGGUGCUGCAUGGCUGUCGUCAGCUCGUGUCGUGAGAUGUUGGGUUAAGUCCCGCAACGAGCGCAACCCUUUUCCUUAUUUGCCAGCGGGUCAUGCCGGGAACUUUAAGGAUACUGCCAGUGACAAACUGGAGGAAGGCGGGACGACGUCAAGUCAUCAUGGCCCUUACGGCCAGGGCUACACACGUGCUACAAUGGUCGGUACAAAGGGUUGCUACCUCGCGAGAGGAUGCUAAUCUCAAAAAGCCGAUCGUAGUCCGGAUCGCAGUCUGCAACUCGACUGCGUGAAGUCGGAAUCGCUAGUAAUCGCGGAUCAGAAUGCCGCGGUGAAUACGUUCCCGGGCCUUGUACACACCGCCCGUCACACCAUGGGAGUUUGUUGCACCAGAAGUAGGUAGUCUAACCGCAAGGAGGACGCUUACCACGGUGUGGCCGAUGACUGGGGUGAAGUCGUAACAAGGUAAGCGUAGAUGA